Non-coding RNA from Halocaridina rubra (Hawaiian volcano shrimp), 72 nucleotides. The record is from the annotation of a GenBank genome assembly. Lineage: Eukaryota; Metazoa; Arthropoda; Malacostraca; Decapoda; Atyidae.
CCUUUAGUGGUACAGUUGGUAGGGCCUUGGUACACUUUUAAUGUGUCCUAGGUUUGAAUCCUAGCCAGGGGC